This 484-nucleotide ribosomal RNA is filed under the name uncultured bacterium. Its description in RNAcentral is "partial 16S ribosomal RNA". It matches the Rfam family "Bacterial small subunit ribosomal RNA", at positions 28 to 507 of the family's 1533-position model. The record is from RNAcentral.
AUUGAACGCUGGCGGCAUGCUUUACACAUGCAAGUCGAACGGCAGCGCGGGCUUCGAACUGGCUGCGAGUGGCGAACGGGUGAGUAAUGCAUCGGAACGUGCCCAUUCGUGGUGGCUAGCACGGCGAAAGCCGGAUUAAUACCUCAUACGACCUGAGGGUGGCAGCGGGUGUCCGAAAGGCCUCGCGCUAUUCGCCCGGCCGAUGUCGGAUCAGCUAGUUGGUGGGGUAAAGGCUUACCAAGGCGACGAUCCGUAGCUGGUCUGAGAGGACGACCAGCCACACUGGGACUGAGACACGGCCCAGACUCCUACGGGAGGCAGCAGUGGGGAAUUUUGGACAAUGGGGGCAACCCUGAUCCAGCCAUGCCGCGUGCGGGAAGAAGGCCUUCGGGUUGUAAACCGCUUUUGUUCGGGAAGAAAUCCUCUGGGCUAAUACCCCGGGGGGAUGACGGUACCGGAAGAAUAAGCACCGGCUAACUACGUG